UCAAGUUAUUAAGGGUGCAGGGCGGAUGCCUUGGCACUAGGAGCCGAUGAAGGACGUGAUAAGCUGCGAUAAGCUUCGGGGAGUUGCACGUAAACUUUGAUCCGAAGAUUUCCGAAUGAGGAAACUCACUUAGAGUAAUGUCUAAGUAUCGUUAAGUGAAUACAUAGCUUAGCGAGGGGAACCCGGGGAACUGAAACAUCUAAGUACCUGGAGGAAGAGAAAGAAAAAUCGAUUCCGUAAGUAGCGGCGAGCGAACGCGGAACAGGCCAAACCAAUGAAGUUUACUUCGUUGGGGUUGCGGACAUAUCAUUAACGAAGAGGUAUCGUAAGUGAAGAGAGUUGGAAAGCUCCGCUAUAAAAGGUAAUAGCCCUGUAGCUGAAACGAGAAGACUUUAGAUGUGAUCCAGAGUACCACGGGACACGUGAAACCCUGUGGGAAGCAGGAGGGACCAUCCUCCAAGCCUAAAUACUACCUAGUGACCGAUAGCGCAUAGUACCGUGAGGGAAAGGUGAAAAGAACCCCGGGAGGGGAGUGAAAUAGAACCUGAAACCCUGUACUUACAAGCUGUGGGAGCACAUUACUUGUGUGACCGCGUACUUUUUGUAGAACGGGCCAACGAGUUACGUUAAGUAGCAAGGUUAAGCACUUAAGGUGUGGAGCCGUAGCGAAAGCGAGUCUUAAAUGGGCAAUUUAAGUUACUUGGCGUAGACCCGAAACCGGGCGACCUAUCCAUGAGCAGGUUGAAGCGAAAGUAAAAUUUCGUGGAGGACCGAACCCACGAGCGUUGAAAAGCUCGGGGAUGACUUGUGGAUAGCGGUGAAAUUCCAAUCGAGCCCGGAGAUAGCUGGUUCUCCCCGAAAUAGCUUUAGGGCUAGCCUCAAGGUUGAGAGAAGCGGAGGUAGAGCACUGAAUGUCCUAGGGGGUAUUGCACUUACCGAAGACUAUCAAACUCCGAAUGCCGUAUUCUUAUACUUGGGAGUCAGACUGUGGGUGAUAAGAUUCAUAGUCAAAAGGGCAACAGCCCAGAUCGUCAGCUAAGGUCCCUAAAUGUACGUUAAGUGGUAAAGGAUGUGGGAUUGCACAGACAACCAGGAUGUUGGCUUAGAAGCAGCCACUCAUUUAAAGAGUGCGUAAUAGCUCACUGGUCGAGUGAUCCUGCGCCGAAAAUUUCCGGGGCUAAAACGUACUACCGAAGCUACGGCAUCAUUAUGAUGGGUAGGGGAGCUUCGUAUGCAGGUUGAAGCAUGACCGUAAGGACAUGUGGACAGUAUACGAGUGAGAAUGUUGGCAUGAGUAGCGAGAUGUGGGUGAGAAUCCCACAGGCCGUAAACCCAAGGUUUCCAGGGGAAGGUUCGUCCGCCCUGGGUUAGUCAGGACCUAAGCCGAGGCCGAAAGGCGUAGGUGAUGGACAACAGGUUGAUAUUCCUGUACCACCAAUAACCGUUUGAGAAAUGGGAUGACACAGAAGGAUAAGCUAACCGUACUGUUGGUUAUGUACGGCUAAGCAUUGAGGCAGUCUAAAUAGGCAAAUCCGUUUAGACAAUGCUAGGAUGUGAUGGGGAAGCCCUUCGGGGCGAAGUAGCUGAUUUCACACUGUCAAGAAAAGCUUCUAUCGAGUUUAAAGGCGCCCGUACCGUAAACCGACACAGGUGGGUGAGGAGAGUAUCCUAAGGCCAGCCAGAGAACUGUUGUUAAGGAACUCGGCAAAAUGACCCCGUAACUUCGGGAGAAGGGGUGCCUGUCUAUGACAGGCCGCAGAGAAUAGGCCCAAGCGACUGUUUACCAAAAACACAGGUUUCUGCUAAGUCGCAAGACGAUGUAUAGGAGCUGACGCCUGCCCGGUGCUGGAAGGUUAAGGGGAUCUGUUAGAGCAAUCGAAGCAGUGAACUUAAGCCCCAGUAAACGGCGGCCGUAACUAUAACGGUCCUAAGGUAGCGAAAUUCCUUGUCGGGUAAGUUCCGACCCGCACGAAAGGCGUAACGAUUUGGGCACUGUCUCAACAACAGACUGGGUGAAAUUGUAAUACCGGUGAAGAUGCCGGUUACCUGCGACAGGACGGAAAGACCCCAUGGAGCUUUACUGUAGCUUGACAUUGGGUCUUGGUACUACAUGUACAGGAUAGGUGGGAGACUAUGAAGCCGGAACGCCAGUUUCGGUGGAGUCAUCCUUGGGAUACCACCCUUGUAGUACUGGGACUCUAACCAUAGGCCAUGAAUCUGGUCUUGGGACACUGUCAGGUGGGCAGUUUGACUGGGGCGGUCGCCUCCUAAAAAGUAACGGAGGCGCUCAAAGGUUCUCUCAGUACGGUCGGAAAUCGUACGUAGAGUGUAAAGGCACAAGAGAGCUUGAUUGCAAGACAUACAGGUCGAGCAAGGACGAAAGUCGGACUUAGUGAUCCGGUGGUUCCGCAUGGAAGGGCCAUCGCUCAACGGAUAAAAGCUACCCUGGGGAUAACAGGCUUAUCUCCCCCAAGAGUCCACAUCGACGGGGAGGUUUGGCACCUCGAUGUCGGCUCA
RNAcentral lists this ribosomal RNA (2517 nucleotides) under human gut metagenome. Its description in RNAcentral is "bacterial LSU rRNA". It matches the Rfam family "Bacterial large subunit ribosomal RNA", at positions 3 to 2539 of the family's 2925-position model. The record is from RNAcentral.